Molecule: transfer RNA, 72 nt
Filed under: Ameiurus melas (black bullhead)
Lineage: Eukaryota; Metazoa; Chordata; Actinopteri; Siluriformes; Ictaluridae
Rfam family: tRNA
About the family: Transfer RNA (tRNA) molecules are approximately 80 nucleotides in length. Their secondary structure includes four short double-helical elements and three loops (D, anti-codon, and T loops).
Source: Rfam by way of RNAcentral
GACCUUGUGGCGCAACGGUAGCGCAUCUGACUCCAGAUCUGAAGGUUGCGUGUUCAAAUCACGUCGUGGUCA